GUUAGUUUCUUUUAUCAUUGUUCCUAGCAAGUUUAAUCUAACUGCGUAAUAAAAGCAUUCAUUCUAAUUAAUAGAGAUUACAUUGUAAGCUGCUUGGCUGUGCGAGUGCUACUGAGUUGUUUAACAAAGAGCCAAUUCAUGCAGUGUACCUGUAGAUAGCUGGUGGCCUGCCUGACUUAGUACACAUUAAUGCUAUCAAGGGAUUGCUCAUUAGGC
Molecule: non-coding RNA, 216 nt
Organism: Pelobates cultripes (western spadefoot toad)
Lineage: Eukaryota; Metazoa; Chordata; Amphibia; Anura; Pelobatidae
Source: the annotation of a GenBank genome assembly